RNAcentral lists this ribosomal RNA (251 nucleotides) under uncultured bacterium. RNAcentral's name for it is "partial 16S ribosomal RNA". It matches the Rfam family "Bacterial small subunit ribosomal RNA", at positions 525 to 775 of the family's 1533-position model. The record is from RNAcentral.
ACGGAAGGUCCGAGCGUUAUCCGGAUUUAUUGGGUUUAAAGGGAGCGUAGGCCGUUUGGUAAGCGUGUUGUGAAAUGUCGGGGCUCAACCUGGGCAUUGCAGCGCGAACUGCCAGACUUGAGUGCGCAGGAAGUAGGCGGAAUUCGUCGUGUAGCGGUGAAAUGCUUAGAUAUGACGAAGAACUCCGAUUGCGAAGGCAGCCUGCUGUAGCGCAACUGACGCUGAAGCUCGAAAGCGUGGGUAUCGAACAG